This 497-nucleotide ribosomal RNA is filed under the name uncultured bacterium. RNAcentral describes it as "partial 16S ribosomal RNA". It matches the Rfam family "Bacterial small subunit ribosomal RNA", at positions 28 to 507 of the family's 1533-position model. The record is from RNAcentral.
GAUGAACGCUGGCGGCGUGCCUAAUACAUGCAAGUCGAGCGAACGGACGAGAAGCUUGCUUCUCUGAUUUUAGCGGCGGACGGGUGAGUAACACGUGGAUAACCUACCUAUAAGACUGGGAUAACUUCGGGAAACCGGUGCUAAUACCGGAUAAUAUUUUGAACCGCAUGGUUCAAAAGUGAAAGACGGUCUUGCUGUCACUUAUAGAUGGAUCCGCGCUGCAUUAGCUAGUUGGUAAGGUAACGGCUUACCAAGGCAACGAUGCAUAGCCGACCUGAGAGGGUGAUCGGCCACACUGGAACUGAGACACGGUCCAAACUCCUACGGGAGGCAGCAGUAGGGAAUCUUCCGCAAUGGGCGAAAGCCUGACGGAGCAACGCCGCGUGAGUGAUGAAGGUCUUCGGAUCGUAAAACUCUGUUAUUAGGGAAGAACAUAUGUGUAAGUAACUGUGCACAUCUUGACGGUACCUAAUCAGAAAGCCACGGCUAACUACGUG